UGGCGGAGUAGAGUGGGAUUUUAAGUAUUCUGUUGUUCGUAGUUUCGGGUUAUUCUGGGAUUAAAUAUUAUGACUGAUUUAAACAAUCAAGAUAUUACUGAAACAGAGACGGAAUCAACAACAACAUGGAUUUUGCUGCAGAUAGCUGAUUCAGCCUUCCCUACUGGAGGAUUCUCACACAGUUUUGGUUUUGAAUCUGCAACAAAACAUGGCUUUGUAACAGAGUAUAAUGGUUUCAAAGGAUUUUUGCUCUCUUGUCUUCAAAAUGCAGCAUCAUUUAGUCUUCCUUUUGUCAAUGAAUCACACAAGAAUUACCAAACUGUUGACCGGAUCAAAGAGCUGGAUGGAAUGGUUCAAGCAUAUCUCAGUAAUCAUGUAGCAAACAGAGCAAGCAUUAGACAGGGGAACUCCUUACUGGACACGGCUUGCAAAACAUUUGGCUAUCAAGAAUUAAAAAACUUACAGGUCCAACUCGAGAACAAAGGCAUUUUUGGUCACUUUGCUGUUAUGUUUGGCUUCAUGUGUGGCUUGUUAAACCUCUCUGUGAUCCAAACUCAACAACUUUUCCUUUUCUCGACUCUCCGAACGGUAAUCGCUAGUGCUGUGAGACUUGGUAAUAUUGGACCGUUACAGGUACAAGUAGAACGUCAGUUUUUGUGAAGCCACGAAGAACAAUGCAAGAUCAAUGUAUAACAAUAAGUGAUUACCACAUGUGUGGCCUUAUCUCCUUUUAUCCCACUUUCAUCUGAAUUCAGGCACUGGCACAGAAUGCCUGUGCAAGAAGAAGACAUAAACAGCUCAAGGUCUCGUGUGUGCGGUCAUUGGCGCGGUUGGCACUCCACUAAUGUACCAUCUUAUGAUUCAUGAAAUUUAGGCUCAAUCCAUCCAAUUUGAAAUGCAGAAGACAGCAGAAGAAAUUAGGAAAAAGUUUGAAAUAUCCACCGUGGAGGAAGCAACAACAACAGCCCCCGUU
RNAcentral lists this unclassified non-coding RNA (973 nucleotides) under Stylophora pistillata. RNAcentral's name for it is "urease accessory protein F-like, transcript variant X2". Lineage: Eukaryota; Metazoa; Cnidaria; Anthozoa; Scleractinia; Pocilloporidae. The record is from RNAcentral.